Molecule: ribosomal RNA, 309 nt
Filed under: uncultured bacterium
Lineage: Bacteria
Description: bacterial SSU rRNA
Rfam family: Bacterial small subunit ribosomal RNA
Source: RNAcentral
GAUGAACGCUAGCGGCAGGCCUAAUACAUGCAAGUCGAGGGGCAGCGCGGUAGCAAUACUGGCGGCGACCGGCGCACGGGUGCGUAACACGUAUGCAACCUACCUUCAACUGGAGGAUAGCCCGGGGAAACUCGGAUUAAUACUCCAUAACACAGGGAUCCCGCAUGGGAAUAUGUUAAAGCUACGGCGGUUGAAGAUGGGCAUGCGUUCGAUUAGCUAGUUGGUGUAGGUAACGGCUCACCAAGGCUAACGAUCGAUAGGGGGUCUGAGAGGAUGAUCCCCCACACUGGUACUGAGAUACGGACCAGA